This 91-nucleotide transfer RNA is filed under the name Serpula lacrymans var. lacrymans S7.3. It matches the Rfam family "tRNA". Rfam says of the family: Transfer RNA (tRNA) molecules are approximately 80 nucleotides in length. Their secondary structure includes four short double-helical elements and three loops (D, anti-codon, and T loops). Further hydrogen bonds mediate the characteristic L-shaped molecular structure. tRNAs have two regions of fundamental functional importance: the anti-codon, which is responsible for specific mRNA codon recognition, and the 3' end, to which the tRNAs corresponding amino acid is attached (by aminoacyl-tRNA synthetases). tRNAs cope with the degeneracy of the genetic code in two manners: having more than one tRNA (with a specific anti-codon) for a particular amino acid; and 'wobble' base-pairing, i.e. permitting non-standard base-pairing at the 3rd anti-codon position. Lineage: Eukaryota; Fungi; Basidiomycota; Agaricomycetes; Boletales; Serpulaceae. The record is from Rfam by way of RNAcentral.
GCCCGCCUAGCUCAAUCGGAUAGAGCGUCAGACUCUUACAACAGAGUUAUGCGGGAUCUGAAGGCUGCGAGUUCGACCCUCGCGGUGGGCU